GACGAACGCUGGCGGCGUGCUUCAAACAUGCAAGUCGAACGGAGUUGAAGGAAGCUUGCUUCUGACAACUUAGUGGCGGACGGGUGAGUAACGCGUGAGCAAUCUGGCUAUUACAGGGGGACAACAGUUGGAAACGACUGCUAAUACCGCAUAUGACCACAGCCUGGCAUCAGGAAGGGGUGAAAGGAGUAAUCCGGUAAUAGAUGAGCUUGCGUCUCAUUAGCUAGUUGGUGAGGGUAACGGCCCACCAAGGCGACGAUGAGUAGCCGAUCUGAGAGGAUGAACGGCCACACUGGAAUUGAGAGACGGUCCAGACUCCUACGGGAGGCAGCAGUUAGGAAUAUUGGGCAAUGGAGGAAACUCUGACCCAGCAACGCCGCGUGAAGGAAGAAGGUUUUCGGAUUGUAAACUUCUGAUCUAUGGGAAGAAGAAAGUGACGGUACCAUAGGAGAAAGCCAACGGCUAACUACGUG
RNAcentral lists this ribosomal RNA (473 nucleotides) under uncultured bacterium. Its description in RNAcentral is "bacterial SSU rRNA". It matches the Rfam family "Bacterial small subunit ribosomal RNA", at positions 28 to 507 of the family's 1533-position model. The record is from RNAcentral.